Pseudonocardia sp. CNS-139 is the source of this 67-nucleotide non-coding RNA. The record is from Rfam. Lineage: Bacteria; Bacillati; Actinomycetota; Actinomycetes; Pseudonocardiales; Pseudonocardiaceae.
GGGAACCCGGUGCGAUCCCGGGACGGUCCCGCCGCUGUGAUCCGGACCCGUCCGGGAGUCAGAUCCC